UAGCAUAUAUGCUCAUAUGCUAAAAUUGGAAUGAUACAGAGAUUAGCAUGGUCCCUGAACAGGGAUGACACACAAAUUCAUAAUGCAUUCUUUUGUUUG
Tupaia belangeri (northern tree shrew) is the source of this 99-nucleotide small nuclear RNA. The record is from Ensembl. Lineage: Eukaryota; Metazoa; Chordata; Mammalia; Scandentia; Tupaiidae.